This 252-nucleotide ribosomal RNA is filed under the name uncultured bacterium. Its description in RNAcentral is "partial 16S ribosomal RNA". It matches the Rfam family "Bacterial small subunit ribosomal RNA", at positions 524 to 776 of the family's 1533-position model. The record is from RNAcentral.
UACGGAGGAUGCGAGCGUUAUCCGGAUUUAUUGGGUUUAAAGGGUGCGUAGGCGGAUCGUUAAGUCAGUGGUCAAAUUGAGGGGCUCAGCCCCUUCCCGCCAUUGAAACUGGCGAUCUUGAGUGGAAGAGAAGUAUGCGGAAUGCGUGGUGUAGCGGUGAAAUGCAUAGAUAUCACGCAGAACCCCGAUUGCGAAGGCAGCAUGCCGGCUUCCGACUGACGCUGAAGCACGAAAGCGUGGGGAUCGAACAGG